GAUGAACGCUAGCUACAGGCUUAACACAUGCAAGUCGAGGGGCAGCGCAGUGUAGCAAUACAUGGGCGGCGACCGGCGCACGGGUGCGUAACGCGUAUCCAACCUUCCCGUUACUCUUGGAUAGCCUUCCGAAAGGGAGAUUAAUACAAGAUGGUAUUCAAAUUCCGCAUGUUAUUUGAAUUAAAGAUUUAUCGGUAACGGAUGGGGAUGCGUGGCAUUAGGUAGUAGGCGGGGUAACGGCCCACCUAGCCGACGAUGCCUAGGGGUUCUGAGAGGAAGGUCCCCCACACUGGAACUGAGACACGGUCCAGACUCCUACGGGAGGCAGCAGUGAGGAAUAUUGGUCAAUGGACGAGAGUCUGAACCAGCCAAGUAGCGUGCAGGACGACGGCCCUCUGGGUUGUAAACUGCUUUUAGUUGGGAAUAAAAAGAGGGACGUGUCCCUUAUUGUAUGUACCAUCAGAAAAAGGACCGGCUAAUUCCGUGCCAGCAGCCGCGGU
Molecule: ribosomal RNA, 500 nt
Filed under: uncultured bacterium
Lineage: Bacteria
Description: bacterial SSU rRNA
Rfam family: Bacterial small subunit ribosomal RNA
Source: RNAcentral